AUGAAGAAUGAAGAUGCAAUCGAUGCAAUCCAUCACAAAGUACAAACGGCUAAAAGCAAUCCAUGCAAGCUUAAAGAUCUGUAGUAAACUAUAUUACUGAAAUCUUUGUUUUUACAAUACAAAUUAAUUACAGUGAAUUAGAUAUGAAGAUGAACCAGAGUUCUUGGAGAUUGUGUCAUCAGAACUACAAUUCUGAAAGGAAACCUCUACAUAUCACAGCAAGCCAAGAAACUAUGUUGCAAAUUUUGAAUAACAGCAACAAGAUGAAGUUUGAAAGACAUGUGUAUAAUCACAAGCUGGUACAGAACUAUAAAGCUUUGAGAACAGACAGAGUGCCUUUCAGUCCUCUGUUAGCCUGGCUCUAAUAGAAAUAUACAACCUUGACUAAUGGCAAGUUACCACAAGGUCAUUGGUACAGGCUCCUGGAAUUAGCAGAAAGUUAAUGGAUCUAUCGAAAACGAUACACACUCUGGGCCUGAAGUUGUCGGCAUGUGAUAGUAACUUACCCCCAGCAUUCAGCCCAAGGAUAGUACCGCUUUUGGAGAUCCAGGGUUCUUGAAUAAGGGCAAGGUUGGCUAAAGCUUCAAGAGCACUAGUAAAAACCUUCAAUAAGAAGGCAGCUUCAGAUCUACUAGUACUUCGUAGGAAAUCCUAUGAUUCUUAGUGGGGGCACUUACCGGACACUGUGGACUCAAUACACACAUGUUCAAUCUUGAACUCUGGGACACAGAUCUGUGCAGACUGCCUAGAGGCAGAGGAAACAUCUAUGCACAUCUUAUGCAAUUGCCCAGCUCUAAUACAAAAACGCAACCUCCACUUAGGGCAUUACACAGUGGACCCAGAGGAGGUGAAACACAUCCCAGCCAAGAAACUGCUGCUGUUCCUGGCAGCAACCAGUAUUGGUGGGGAAAUCUAGUCAGUGGCGAUCACAAUAUUUCGGUAACGGUCAAUGUGAUUCAGGGACCUCAAGAAGACCUGAGGAGUCACGACAUCUAGAAGAAGAAGAAUGGCCAGUUUUAUGAACUUGAAUAAGUAUAAAACAUUAAUGUACAAUGGCCAACCCUUAGUGGCCAAAUGCGGAAAGGCCUGUGAAAGAAGAAGAAGAAGUAUAAAACAUGUAACAUCUGCAAAAUUGCUGUAGCACCUAACAGUGCAUGAAAACUCACCCAAUUUGCAGCGUGAAGGUAACAGUGACACGAUAAAAACACACUCUGAAAUAUGUAUAUUCUGUACUAAAUACUGAAAUGCUUUCCAGCAAUGGACAAGACUUUAAAAAUUCGCUAGAAGAGAAUCUUUAAAUAUGACCAAUAUACCCAUUCCCCUCUGAUUAGUCAGAAGAGACUACUAAGAGUGGAAUGUUGAAAUAGUACAACUUUAAUCCAGCCGAGGGAGAAGUUUAAACCACCACCGCUCAAUGAUGAAGCUCACAUCUUUAUCACUGAGCUAUUGUGACUUAAUCUUAGCUGUGUAAUUGCAUAUUAUAUGAAGAGGAAUUUAGUUUAUUGUUGAUCAUAAAUAAAAAGAGUAUGAUUAUAGCCACCAUACAGAAUUGCCAAAAAGAUAAAGUAAAGAUGAACAUAGAAGUGUUGGCUUGAUGCUACCACUGGAUGUUUCUUUAACUGAAAAAUAAUGAAAAGAAGAAGAAUAUGGAAGCACUGGUGUUUCUUGUAUAGACAAGCACUGAAUGUUUCUUGUACAGACUGAAAGAUGUUUGCUUGUCAUCAUGUUUAUCAUUGUCAGAAGCUUUCAACUCUGUCUGAUAACACAGAGUAUAAUAUAAAAGCAUUUGAAAUAUCUAAGUAAAUUAGAAAAAAGGAGAUUUAAUUCAAGUAUUCUUUUGUUCAACCUAAAAUGUUCAUUUCACAUUGUUUCAUCUCCACAAACUAGUGGUUGUGAUGAUAAUUUUAACUUUUCCAUCAAGGCGUUGAUGCCUCUACUUUUUUAAAUAAUAGUGAUUCAUGCAAUGGGUAUAAAAUGCACUUCAGUUGCGCCUUGGUUUCUUCAGCCAUAGUAUGGUUUCUUGUCUCUGAACAAAAUCUUAAUAAUAUCUGCAAUCCUAUUACGCAGGCUCCGUAAAUGACUGUGGAAUAUUAUUAAUAUUAACACAGGUAUUUUUUUUUUAAUUUGCAAUACAUACAUGUUAUUUUAAUGUAAAUUAAUACAAUGUAAAAAAAUUCUACUACAAGGGCAAAGAAGAUGCUUGUUUCCUGUAUGUCUACAUUGAAAAUGACAUGUUUGUCUCAUUUUUCACUUGUGAAGUUCAAAAUAUAAAACAUUUGAGUGAAAACAGACCUAAACGAGGGAUUCAAAUUCGAGUGAAUUGAAACAUUCAUUAAAUUGAAUUUUUCAAUUACCUCUGUUUUAAAACCUUUAAACCUCUCAUCCUUUUGAACUGUUCCACCAAUUCAUUGCUCCACUUGUUUAAACAAAAGUGCUUCAUGUAAUGUUUGUGAAAUGCGUCAUAGUUGCACCUUGGUUUCUUCAGCCAUAUUUUGGUUUUAUGAUACUGAAAUUUUUUAAAAAUUAUUAUCUCUAUAUCUUAGCAAGCAAAAAUGGUUGUCUUCUCGCAAACUUAGACAUUUAUUUCUCCUCUUCAGCACAAGCACAAAAAAUAGAACAUUUAAGUGAAGCAUAGCCAUAAAAGAGGGUUUCAAAUAAGAGCGAAUUGAAACAUUAAUUGAAUUGAAUUUUUCAAUUCACUCCGAUUUAGAGAACCUGUCAAAAACUUUCAUCUUUUUGAACUUGUCCAUCAAGGCAUUGCUGCCUCUACCCUUUUAAACAACAGAGAUUCAUGUAAUGGGUAUAAAUACGCCGUAGUUGCGCCUUGGUUUCUUCAGCCAUAUUUUGGUUUCAUGCCUCAGAAUUUUAUUAAAAAUUAUCUGCGUUUAACCAAAAAUAAAAUAUUUAAGUGAAGCAUAGACAUAAACGAAGGAUUCAAAUUCGAGUAAAUUGAAACAUUCAUUAAAUUGAAUUUUUCUAUUACCUCUGUUUUAAAACCUUUAGGCCUCUUUUCCAUUACACGGUUGUUCAAACGUACGGUGUGUAAGCCGUACGGUUGAAAAAACGUGCUAGCUUGUACAUGAUACGGCAAAAUCACCGCGCGAGACAUUGAAUGCAGAAAACUACAUUCGACAACUUGCUCCAAAAAUUAUCCCAGGAACUAAAACAUCAAGAUACUUUUAUGCGAGAGAGUAUAUCGCCCGCAGAAAGAUUGGCUGUAACUCUGAGGUAAGUAGGUACAAAAUUAAAUGACAUAUUUUAGUUUAAAAUUGUUUAUUGCACACAAACAAAAUUAUUACAUGUAAUUGAAUUUUAAUAAUUAUUAAUUUAAGAACAAGUAAAUCAAAAAAUACACUACGCUGAAAAUGCUACUCAAGUGCGGUACUAAAAUCGAAUUCGUCUUCAAUAGAAACUUGAGAAUCUGCCGAGAUACUUUCCGCAUUUACACUAUGUACAGAUAAUUGUGAUUCGGGUCGGUAGUGGAUUGGCUCUAAACCAGAACCGUGUCCAAAAUCAUGAGAAGACGUCUGUGGACGACUUAUUCCAUAGCCCGAUCUAGCAGCUGUAGAAUAUCCAUAUGUUGACGAUUGCGCAUUUGAGGAUGCUGUACCACUUAAAUAUCCUUGAUGGCCUUGAUCCCAUUGGUUUCUUGAUGUAGGUAUAUACUGAGUACACUGUCUUUGUUGAAUAUUUUUAAUUAUUGAAAUUACUUGAAACUGAAAGUCUAUCAUAUUUUCAUCACUGAACUUGUCAACUGUAUCAGCGAUUCCCAUAAAAAAGUUCAUACUACGGCUUUUCUUUUUCUCAUCUCGUUCUGCUGAAUCCAUAAACUUCAUAAACCUAAUGUCAACUUCACUUAGUUCAUUUUUUCUUUUUUUUUUAGCCCUUUGCGUCUCACUCCGUUCAGUGUAUCCCGAGCUUGAUUGAUUCGGGACUGCACUAUCAAAAUUUCGCGGAAGUUUGGCGGCUAAUGAAGUUCGCAACAGAUUUGCACAAUAUUUUGUAUCUAACGAAGGUCGCCUCUCCUAUCAAAACAACUAUGCAUAAGUAAAAAGUUAAUAAUUAAAUAUCUGUAACUUACCAAACUUGUUUUUCUCAUCACCACUUAAAUCUUCAAAUGUGGGCUGGAAAUGAAUAAAUAUUUCUUUCCAGGAAUCAUAUUUAAGCCGCUUAUUUUUAUAAUCGUCGAUGGUCUUAUCCCAUAUUACAGGCCUUUCUUGAAUCAACGUAAUUAAUAAUUCUUGAUUUAUGUUCAUUUUAUAAUAAAAUCGCGAAACAGCGUAUAUAAGCGGUCACGAAUCCGUGCGUACGUCCGGCACCGUCGACACACCCCGAUAGACUGCCAUACAACACUGGUGAAAAUCACGCCGUGCGUAGACGCGGCGCGCCGAGGGGCAGUCACGGCGCACGCGGCCGCGGCGCCGUGCCUUGGCGCCACCGUGCAUGUCGACAAGCUCAUAUAGUGAUCCAUACCACACUGACGACCGUGCCUACACGCGGCGAAUUAACCGUAGAUUUUCACGGCGAGAAACCGUGUAAUGGAAAAGAGGCCUUACGAGUAGACUUCUUAUCUUCUUGAACUCUUCCACCAAGUAAAUGCUGCCUCUACUUGUUUAAACUAAAGUGCUUCAUGCGCCUUGGUUUCUUCAGCCAUAUUUUGGUUUCAUGCCUCUGUUUUUUUUUAAUACGAGUAUCUCUGGUUCUGUUAUGUUGCUCCGUGAAUGACUGAAGCGCUUGAUAUUUGUUAAUAUUGCCACUGAAAAAAUAUAUGGUCGCACCGAGAAUCUCAAAGAAAACUCAAAUUUGACUUAUGAUUAAAUUUAUUAAUUGAAACUAAAGCUAAGUAAUUGGCUACUUCCUCCAAAGUUAGGAGUAAAAGUGUCGAAAUAAUUGUAACAAUGCUUGAAUUAUUGCGAAAGAGUAGGUGACGUUCAUAUUAAGGAAUGCGAUCGAACAAUGGGUGGCAAUCUUGCACCUUAUGUCUCACGUACUCUCUCGGUUGCCUCGCGUAACACUGAUGUAUUUUCUUAAAUUUCAAUACAUACAUCAGUAUAAAUGUUAAUCAUAAAGAAAAUUAUUAGGUUCUAACAAAGCUGCGUGUUGAAAAAGCAAAAAUGGUUGUCUUAUUCCAAUUUUAGACAUUACUUUUUUCUCGUCACUUGUGAAACACCAAAAAUAAAACAUUUAAGUGAAGCAUAGACAAAAGAGGGAUUCAAAUGAGAGUGAAUUGAAAUAUUCAUUUAAUUGAAUUUUUCAAUUCACUCUGAUUUAGAACAUUUUUUUUUGUGUUCCAAUUUUAUCUGCAAUCAGUUUAACAA
This is a long non-coding RNA of Bicyclus anynana (squinting bush brown), 5318 nucleotides long. RefSeq lists it as uncharacterized. The record is from RefSeq and is a predicted model, not a curated record. The transcript is spliced from 3 exons. Lineage: Eukaryota; Metazoa; Arthropoda; Insecta; Lepidoptera; Nymphalidae.